Molecule: antisense RNA, 75 nt
Filed under: Streptomyces sp. ADI95-17
Lineage: Bacteria; Bacillati; Actinomycetota; Actinomycetes; Kitasatosporales; Streptomycetaceae
Description: ASpks TB sRNA
Rfam family: ASpks TB sRNA
Source: Rfam by way of RNAcentral
CUUGAUGGAGCCGAGCAGCAGCGGCCGGUCGGCGGGGCGGUCCUGGCCGUAGGUGGCGAGGACGGCCUGGGCCUC